Molecule: ribosomal RNA, 382 nt
Filed under: uncultured eukaryote
Lineage: Eukaryota
Description: partial 18S ribosomal RNA
Rfam family: Eukaryotic small subunit ribosomal RNA
Source: RNAcentral
UGUAAGCGUAUACCAAAGUUGUUGCAGUUAAAACGCUCGUAGUCGGAAUUUGGCAGUUCCGGAUGUGUGCACGUCGUGUGCGCACUUCGCGGGGAUUGCUUUUGUGGUCUUGCGUAGGAUGAGGCACUUUUAUUAGUGAACGUCCUCACGCAACCACUUUUUACUGUGAGAAAAUCAGAGUGCUCAAAGCAGGCAUUUGCCGUGAAUGUAUUAGCAUGGAAUAAUAGAAUUGGACUUGGUUCUAUUUUGUUGGUUUGUUGGGACUGAGUAAUGAUUAAGAGGGACAGUUGGGGGCAUUUGUAUUUCGGUGCUAGAGGUGAAAUUCUUAGAUUACCGAAAGACAAACUGCUGCGAAAGCGUCUGCCAAGGAUGUUUUCAUUGA